UAAGGAAUAUUGGACAAUGGACGCAAGUCUGAUCCAGCCAUCCCGCGUGUAGGAUGACUGCCCUACGGGUUGUAAACUACUUUUAUUUGGGAAGAAACCUGGUUAUUUAUGACCAGUUGACGGUACCUUAUGAAUAAGCACCGGCUAACUCCGUGCCAGCAGCCGCGGUAAUACGGAGGGUGCAAGCGUUAUCCGGAAUCACUGGGUUUAAAGGGAGCGUAGGCGGCAUAAUAAGUCAGAGGUGAAAGGCUGUAGCUUAACUAUGGAAUUGCCUUUGAUACUGUUAUGCUUGAAUCAAGUUGAGGUCGGCAGAAUGUGACAUGUAGCGGUGAAAUGCAUAGAUAUGUCAUAGAAUACCAAUUGCGAAGGCAGCUGGCUGGACUUGUAUUGACGCUGAGGCUCGAAAGCGUGGGGAGCAAACAGG
Molecule: ribosomal RNA, 424 nt
Filed under: uncultured bacterium
Lineage: Bacteria
Description: bacterial SSU rRNA
Rfam family: Bacterial small subunit ribosomal RNA
Source: RNAcentral